RNAcentral lists this ribosomal RNA (492 nucleotides) under uncultured bacterium. RNAcentral's name for it is "partial 16S ribosomal RNA". It matches the Rfam family "Bacterial small subunit ribosomal RNA", at positions 29 to 507 of the family's 1533-position model. The record is from RNAcentral.
AGUGAACGCUGGCGGUAGGCCUAACACAUGCAAGUCGAACGGCAGCACAGUAAGAGCUUGCUCUUACGGGUGGCGAGUGGCGGACGGGUGAGGAAUACAUCGGAAUCUACUUUUUCGUGGGGGAUAACGUAGGGACACUUACGCUAAUACCGCAUACGACCUACGGGUGAAAGCAGGGGAUCUUCGGAUCUUGCGCGAUUGAAUGAGCCAAUGUCGGAUUAGCUAGUUGGCGGGGUAAAGGCCCACCAAGGCGACGAUCCGUAGCUGGUCUGAGAGGAUGAUCAGCCACACUGGAACUGAGACACGGUCCAGACUCCUACGGGAGGCAGCAGUGGGGAAUAUUGGACAAUGGGCGCAAGCCUGAUCCAGCCAUACCGCGUGGGUGAAGAAGGCCUUCGGGUUGUAAAGCCCUUUUGUUGGGAAAGAAAAGCAGCAGGUUAAUACCCCGCUGUUCUGACGGUACCCAAAGAAUAAGCACCGGCUAACUUCGUG